GGGGAAUAUUGCACAAUGGGGGAAACCCUGAUGCAGCGACGCCGCGUGAAGGAAGAAGUAUCUCGGUAUGUAAACUUCUAUCAGCAGGGAAGAAAAUGACGGUACCUGACUAAGAAGCCCCGGCUAACUACGUGCCAGCAGCCGCGGUAAUACGUAGGGGGCAAGCGUUAUCCGGAUUUACUGGGUGUAAAGGGAGCGUAGACGGAUGGACAAGUCUGAUGUGAAAGGCUGGGGCUCAACCCCGGGACUGCAUUGGAAACUGCCCGUCUUGAGUGCCGGAGAGGUAAGCGGAAUUCCUAGUGUAGCGGUGAAAUGCGUAGAUAUUAGGAGGAACACCAGUGGCGAAGGCGGCUUACUGGACGGUAACUGACGUUGAGGCUCGAAAGCGUGGGGAGCAAAC
RNAcentral lists this ribosomal RNA (400 nucleotides) under uncultured bacterium. RNAcentral's name for it is "bacterial SSU rRNA". It matches the Rfam family "Bacterial small subunit ribosomal RNA", at positions 356 to 773 of the family's 1533-position model. The record is from RNAcentral.